RNAcentral lists this ribosomal RNA (253 nucleotides) under uncultured bacterium. RNAcentral describes it as "partial 16S ribosomal RNA". It matches the Rfam family "Bacterial small subunit ribosomal RNA", at positions 524 to 776 of the family's 1533-position model. The record is from RNAcentral.
UGCGAAGGGGGCUAGCGUUGCUCGGAAUCACUGGGCGUAAAGGGUGCGUAGGCGGGUUUUUAAGUCAGAGGUGAAAUCCCGGAGCUCAACUCCAGAACUGCCUUUGAUACUGGGAAUCUUGAGUAUGGAAGAGGUGAGUGGAACUGCGAGUGUAGAGGUGAAAUUCGUAGAUAUUCGCAAGAACACCAGUGGCGAAGGCGGCUCACUGGUCCAUAACUGACGCUCAUGCACGAAAGCGUGGGGAGCAAACAGG